RNAcentral lists this ribosomal RNA (429 nucleotides) under Gemmatimonadota bacterium. RNAcentral describes it as "Gemmatimonadetes bacterium partial 16S ribosomal RNA". It matches the Rfam family "Bacterial small subunit ribosomal RNA", at positions 355 to 776 of the family's 1533-position model. The record is from RNAcentral. Lineage: Bacteria; Pseudomonadati; Gemmatimonadota.
UAGGGAAUCUUCGGCAAUGGACGAAAGUCUGACCGAGCAACGCCGCGUGAGUGAAGAAGGUUUUCGGAUCGUAAAACUCUGUUGUUAGAGAAGAACAAGGACGUUAGUAACUGAACGUCCCCUGACGGUAUCUAACCAGAAAGCCACGGCUAACUACGUGCCAGCAGCCGCGGUAAUACGCAGGUGGCAAGCGUUGUCCGGAUUUAUUGGGCGUAAAGCGAGCGCAGGCGGUUUCUUAAGUCUGAUGUGAAAGCCCGCGGCUCAACCGGGGAGGGUCAUUGGAAACUGAGAGACUUGAGUGCAGAAGAGGAGAGUGGAAUUCCAUGUGUAGCGGUGAAAUGCGUAGAUAUAUGGAGGAACACCAGGGGCGAAGGCGGCUCUCUGGUCUGUAACUGACGCUGAGGCUCGAAAGCGUGGGGAGCAAACAGG